AUUGAACGCUGGCGGCAGGCCUAACACAUGCAAGUCGAGCGGAGCGGCGGACGGGUGCGUGAUGCCUAGGUAUCUGCCUGGUAGUGGGGGAUAACGUUCGGAACCGGGCGCUAAUACCGCAUACUAGCAGUUGCGGCUAGGUCGGAUUAGCUAGUGGGUGGGGUAAAGGCCUACCAAGGCGACGAUCCGUACCUGGUCUGAGAGGAUGAUCAGUCACACUGGAACUGAGACACGGUCCAGACUCCUACGGGAGGCAGCAGUGGGGAAUAUUGGACAAUGGGCGAAAGCCUGAUGCAGCCAUGCCGCGUGUGUGAAGAAGGUCUUCGGAUUGUAAAGCACUUUAAGUUGGGAGGCGUUACCAACAGAAUAAGCACCGGCUAACUUCGUGCCAGCAGCCGCGGUAAUAC
RNAcentral lists this ribosomal RNA (407 nucleotides) under uncultured bacterium. Its description in RNAcentral is "partial 16S ribosomal RNA". It matches the Rfam family "Bacterial small subunit ribosomal RNA", at positions 30 to 526 of the family's 1533-position model. The record is from RNAcentral.